This is a long non-coding RNA of Rosa rugosa (rugosa rose), 1010 nucleotides long. RefSeq lists it as uncharacterized. The transcript is spliced from 3 exons. The record is from RefSeq and is a predicted model, not a curated record. NCBI's taxonomy places the organism in Eukaryota, Viridiplantae, Streptophyta, Magnoliopsida, Rosales, Rosaceae.
UCUUGAUCAGUUAUCAAGAAAGAUCGAGAGAGAGAGAGAUCCGUUGUCGUCGCCGCGUGAAUCCAAUUGAAUCCGGUAAUUCUCUCCCCUAAUUUUCAGGUGAUAUUCAGAGGCUUUGCGUCUUUGUUCCGUAGAAGUACAGAGAAGGUACUUUGAUCCAUUUCAAUUCGAUCAAUUAUCAAGAACGAUCCACAGAGGGAUAGAGAGAUCGGGUGUGUUUGUUUGCUUUGCUUUGCACAAAGACAUAGAGAGAGAGACAUAGCUCAUAUUCAGAAAAGGGGGAUUCUCACCUCCUCAUCUCAGCACGAGCUACUCAUUUUUCCUGAGUGAACCCUACUGUAGGCUGGUUAUCAAGCUAUGAUUGAAUGUGCUUAGAUUAUGGGCAUACAGGUAUAUGUCUCUUAUCCCAUCAUUGCUUUCAGGUUUCUGGAAUGGUUAGAAGUCGUACUUUUUUGACAUCAUUCAUCUCAAAAAAAAAAAAAAAAAAAAGUCGUACUUUUAGAUUCAAUUUUUACCAUAAACAUUUACUUUCCUCCCAAGUCAUUACAACUAUGUUCAACUCUGAAGACUAAUGAGGGCAGUAGAAGAAAGUUUUCAAUGAAAAAUUAAUCUAAAGAUUCUUAAACAUUUAGUGGUUCUGAUGCAUCCUCAGGUUUAUAUCCUUGGUACAGCAUAUUAUAUAUACUCUAAUGCAUAUAUAUAUAGUUAGGAUUUAGACCUAUAAUGAUGCAUUAUGUCCUUAAAAGGAAUUUAGUUUAGCUUCAAGGUUUCCAGUUUGAGAUUGUAACUUCUGGCAUGACUUGAUUUUUUUUUUUUUUGGUAACUAUUGCAUGAUUAAUGCAUCUUGUUUGAGAAUUUUGCAUUAUGUUUCAAUUAUAUGGACAGAUUCCUUCUAUUCAAUUUUUAGUGAAUCACAUGACCGAUGUGUGCAUUCACAAUUGAAUGUCACAGUACUUUUUUUGAUUUGCAUAUGGUUUUAUGCUCCAAUGUUUAAUAUAUUUUUUUUCCUU